This 1099-nucleotide long non-coding RNA is filed under the name Monodelphis domestica (gray short-tailed opossum). Its description in RNAcentral is "lncRNA (ENSMODG00000048528.1)". The record is from RNAcentral. Lineage: Eukaryota; Metazoa; Chordata; Mammalia; Didelphimorphia; Didelphidae.
CUCAACUCUAGGCUUAGUACUCUGUGCUACCUAACUGCCCUCAGUAGGCUUUGCUAUUGAUACUUCCCACUGCCAGAGACUGGUGGUAUGUGUGAAGAAGGUCCAGAGGCCAGCAGCACAUGUAGCAAAACCUAUAGGAGAGAAUGGAGAAGGAAAGAGGGGGACCACCUGGGACUUAAGUAUUACUUGUGGGGAGGAAGAGCUGAUCUCUGGACAUUAGGCAAGAGUGGGACACAGCUCUGCAGUCAAAGGAUUGGCAGUGAUUAUUCCAAUGACUAGUGAUUUGAGUGGUGUUUUUAUAAGACUCUUCUAGGGAUUUUCCCCAACCAUUUGGAUGGAGAUGAGGCAUUCUUCCAUAGAAUUGAGUUUACCUUUAGAUGUAGGAUAGGUGAAAGGCCACCUGAUAUUCUAAUUCUGAACCAUCUUUACAGUGAUUGGCUUAUGCCAAGGGACAUUGUAAGAGGUGGUCACUUGGAAGUAUGUUAAGGAGGCCAAAGCUUGUGGGGUUCAAAAAGCAAGCUAGUAAAUUUCCACAGAAAACCAGUAUAAGUCAAAGUUACAAUGAAUUCUGGAUUACAAAUGGAGUCUAAGGAAGAUCAAAGGAUCAAACUGGCUGCCAACUACCAUUACAAAUAUAAACAUUUUGGGGACAGCUAAGUGGCUCAGUAAAUAGAGAGCCAAGCCUAGAAAUGAGAAAUCCUGAGUUCAAAUUUGACUUCAGAUACUACUUAGUUGUAUGACCUUUGGGAAAGUAGAUCCUGCUCUCUCACCUCCUGCUUGGGAGACUUCAGAGCCAAGUCCUGAAAGAACACAACUGGGGUGUGCCUCUGCUUUUUCCAGGUUUGACCUGGCUAGAACACAGUCCUGCAGGGGUGGAGGGGAUAUGAUCGAGGAGAGACUGAAUGAACACCCUACUACGGAAACCAACAGCAAGGAAAUGGGCUCCGGUUGAGGACGCAUGUGACACCCAGAGGAAUCACACAUUCCCAAUGGGAGGGGUGUGGGGGAGGGGGAGAAAAAAAAGUGAUCUUUGUUUCUAAUGAAUAAUGUUUGAAAAUGACCAAAUAAAAUAAUGUUUAAAAUUAAAAAAAAAAACUAG